GGAAGAGAGUUAUCUCCGGUGAGGUAGCUGGUCUUCAAAACCAGAAGGGGCCGCUCGCCGGUCCUUGGUGGGUUCGACUCCCACUCUCUUCCGCCA
RNAcentral lists this transfer RNA (96 nucleotides) under Ancylobacter defluvii. RNAcentral's name for it is "tRNA-Sec". It matches the Rfam family "Selenocysteine transfer RNA". Lineage: Bacteria; Pseudomonadati; Pseudomonadota; Alphaproteobacteria; Hyphomicrobiales; Xanthobacteraceae. The record is from RNAcentral.